UCAUGUACAUCGGCGCUCCUUCCGGGUUGACCCGACCAAACCAAUGAUGCAAGGCUUCUCCUGCUGCUGCAUGUCUUCAUCAACUUAGUUCUUCCACAGGGAGAGAUCUAAAUCCUUCACUUGUUCACUGUGUAAUCUGCAGAUUACUUCUUCCAUUAAUCACCUAGUGCUCCUGUUAGUGAGAUUCAUCUAGUAUUUUUUUUGCAAAGCAUGCAAUGGUUUGGAGUAGUUGAUCAUGGCCUGAUGGAACCUUCAUGU
This 258-nucleotide ribosomal RNA is filed under the name Triticum aestivum (bread wheat). RNAcentral's name for it is "partial small subunit ribosomal RNA". The record is from RNAcentral. Lineage: Eukaryota; Viridiplantae; Streptophyta; Magnoliopsida; Poales; Poaceae.